RNAcentral lists this long non-coding RNA (2411 nucleotides) under Taeniopygia guttata (zebra finch). RNAcentral's name for it is "lncRNA (ENSTGUG00000025599.1)". Lineage: Eukaryota; Metazoa; Chordata; Aves; Passeriformes; Estrildidae. The record is from RNAcentral.
CAGCAGGACGCCCCGGCCCCCGGGAGCUGCCGGGGGCUGCUGCCAGCGGAUCUAACGCCGUGCCCUGUCCCCCUGUCCCCAGCUGCGCCCCCUGUUCCUCCUGGCCCUGGCAGAUUUCCUGGGUGCCGCGGCGCUGCUGGGCACGGGAACCGUCCCGCUGCUGCCGGCCUCCCUCUCCGUGCCCGCCUACGCCGCCUGUCCCUACGGGCGGAUGCUGACCACGACCUCCUACGCCGUCUCGUUCCUCAUGGUCGCUGUUUACGCGUACGAGUCGCACCGCACCGUCCUCGGGGGGCGAGCGCGGCCCCCGGCAGCGCUGCAGGAGCGGAGCCGCUGCCUGGAGAGCGCCUGGCGGGGAAUUCCGUACGUCCUGGCCUGGCUGGUACCGGCGCUGACUCUCCUGGCUCAGCUGCUCUCCCGCGGCACCUCCGCCGCCGCCAUCGCGCCCGUGGUGCCCCGGGAGGCUCUGGGAGCUCCAGCACCGCUCUGUCCUUGCAGCUGCCUCCUCCUGAUCCGCCCGAGCCAGGACAUUUGCUCCCAGGUGGGCGCUGCUCCCGGGGGGCUCCGGGGCCGCGGGGGUCGCUGGCCCGGCCCCGCUCAUCUCCCGUUGUCUCCCAGUCCGGCGGGGGCAGGAACGCGGGGCUGGAGGAGAAAAUCAUCCUCCUGCUGUACCUGCUGCUGGUGCUCGGCUGCUGCUCGCUCCUGUACCGGCGGGUGCGGCUCCGGUGCCGGCGGAACGCGGCGCUGCCGCUGCUGAGCCUGGACAGGGACGGCGGCCUCGGGGGCAGGAGCGGCCGCAGCGUCAGCAAAGCCUCGCUGCACUUCCAGCUGGUUUUCCUGCUCUGCUGGACGCCAGCCUUCCUCCUCACCAUCCUCUCCUUCACCAGCAUCAGCCCUGCCUCGCUCUUUGUCCUCUACGUGUCCACGGUGAGUAAAGCCCCUUUUCAGGGCUCCCAGGUUGGACAUUUGUCCCCAUCCCACGUGGGAGCUGUGACAGCCCUUGGGCACACCCUGGGCAGGGUGAGGACACGGCCCUGGGCCCAGCGCGGCUCUUCCCACUGGAUUUUGGGUUGGGAUUUCAGCCCUUGGCUCUUCCCAGGGCCUGGAUGUGCUUUAAUUGGCCACACCAAGAGGAAUGUCCCCCCGUGUCCCGUGCCAGCCCGCUGGGCUGUGCCUGCUGGCACCGGGAGCCCUGACCCUCCGUCCCUGUGUCCCCCAGGCCCUGAGCGUGUCCCUGCAGGGCUUCCUGCACAGUCUGGUCUACGGCUGGAUGAGGGAGAACUUCCGCAGGGACGUGCUGGCCCCGAGCCCCUCCCUGCAGAGCCCGGAGGGGCUCAAGGCUUUCUACGACGAUUCCCUGGGGGCUGCUCCCUGAGCUCCCCCCUCAUCCCAUUCCCUGGGGGCUGCUCCCACCUCAUCCCAUUGCCUGGGGGCUGCUCCCUGAGCUCCCCCCUCAUCCCAUUCCCUGGGGGCUGCUCCCUGAGCUCCCACCCCAUCCCAUUCCCUGGGGGCUGCUCCCACCUCAUCCCAUUCCCUGGGGGCUGCUCCCUGAGCUCCCACCCCAUCCCAUUCCCCGGGGGCUGAUCCCUGAGCUCCCACCUCAUCCCCAUCCCAUUCCCUGGGGGCUGCUCCCACCUCAUCCCAUUCCCUGGGGGCUGCGGGAUUUGCACAUUCCCAGCAGCUCAGGGAAUCCCGGAAUGGUUUGGGCGGACAGGGACCCCAGAGCCCCCCCAGUGCCACCCUGCCAUGGCAGGGACCCCUCCCACGGCUCCCGCUGUCCCGGCAGGAUCCCCUGGGUGCAGCCCCUUGUGCCUGGAGUGGUUUGGGGAGGGCACAGGAGGGGCACCUGCAGCCCCUCCCUGCUGGAGACCCCCGAACUUCCACAGAUCCACCGGGAUGGUCUGCAGGAUCCUGGAACCUGAGGCUGGGCUGGCACUGGAGGGGCUUUGGGGUCCCUUCCCACCCAAACCAUUCCAGGACAGUGGGAUACUGGGCUUGCAGGAGAUGGGGUCUGGCCUCCUUGGGGGGAAUGCAAAGCUAAAAAUACAUCCCUGAGGGAGAAUUCCCGAAGGAGGAAGUUCGGGCUGUUGAGGAACAAGAGAUGGUGGAGUCCCCACUCCAGGAGGGAUCUCAAAGCCAUGUGGAUGUGGCACUUGGGGACACGGUCAGUGGUGGCCUUGGCACUGCUGGGAAUGGUUGGACUCGAUGGGCUUCAAGGUUUUUCCAAACCAAAAGCCUCAGUGAUUCUGUGAUUCUGUGAUUCCGUGCCUCGGGAAGGGCAGAGGGACACACAGCCACCCACAGGUGCUCUGGAAAACCGGGAUGGCCACGAGUGACCAAGAGCAGGGACAACCAUUCCCAACCCAAUAAACCUCCCCAGCCUCCGAGCCAGGACCCAGCGUGGCUCCAGG